CCUACGGGUGGCAGCAGUGGGGAAUAUUGCACAAUGGGCGCAAGCCUGAUGCAGCCAUGCCGCGUGUGUGAAGAAGGCCUUCGGGUUGUAAAGCACUUUCAGCGGGGAGGAAGGCGGUGAGGUUAAUAACCUCAUCGAUUGACGUUACCCGCAGAAGAAGCACCGGCUAACUCCGUGCCAGCAGCCGCGGUAAUACGGAGGGUGCAAGCGUUAAUCGGAAUUACUGGGCGUAAAGCGCACGCAGGCGGUCUGUCAAGUCGGAUGUGAAAUCCCCGGGCUCAACCUGGGAACUGCAUUCGAAACUGGCAGGCUAGAGUCUUGUAGAGGGGGGUAGAAUUCCAGGUGUAGCGGUGAAAUGCGUAGAGAUCUGGAGGAAUACCGGUGGCGAAGGCGGCCCCCUGGACAAAGACUGACGCUCAGGUGCGAAAGCGUGGGGAGCGAACGGGAUUAGAUACCCUUGUAGUC
This 465-nucleotide ribosomal RNA is filed under the name uncultured Klebsiella sp. RNAcentral describes it as "bacterial SSU rRNA". It matches the Rfam family "Bacterial small subunit ribosomal RNA", at positions 338 to 795 of the family's 1533-position model. Lineage: Bacteria; Pseudomonadati; Pseudomonadota; Gammaproteobacteria; Enterobacterales; Enterobacteriaceae. The record is from RNAcentral.